UUGUCGGAGAGUUUGAUCCUGGCUCAGGAUAAACGCUGGCGGCGUGCAUGAGACAUGCAAGUCGAACGGACUUCUCGGGCUUGCUCGAGAAGUUAGUGGCGGACGGCUGAGUAACGCGUAGGUGACCUACCCCGAAGUGGGGAAUAACUGCCCGAAAGGGUGGCUAAUACCGCAUACGAUCGGUCAUUCAUUUGAUUGAUCAAAGCAGCAAUGCGCUUUGGGAGGGGCCUGCGUCCGAUUAGCUCGUUGGUGGGGUAAUGGCUCACCAAGGCGACGAUCGGUAGGUGGUCUGAGAGGACGAUCACCCAGACUGGGACUGAGACACGGCCCAGACUCCUACGGGAGGCAGCAGUCGGGAAUUUUGCUCAAUGGGCGAAAGCCUGAAGCAGCAACGCCGCGUGAGGGAUGAAGGCCUUCGGGUUGUAAACCUCUUUUACCAGGGACGAUAAUGACGGUACCUGAUGAAUAAGUCACGGCUAACUACGUGCCAGCAGCCGCG
RNAcentral lists this ribosomal RNA (499 nucleotides) under Chloroflexota bacterium. RNAcentral's name for it is "bacterial SSU rRNA". It matches the Rfam family "Bacterial small subunit ribosomal RNA", at positions 1 to 519 of the family's 1533-position model. Lineage: Bacteria; Bacillati; Chloroflexota. The record is from RNAcentral.